Molecule: ribosomal RNA, 254 nt
Filed under: uncultured bacterium
Lineage: Bacteria
Description: partial 16S ribosomal RNA
Rfam family: Bacterial small subunit ribosomal RNA
Source: RNAcentral
UGCGUAGGGUCCGAGCGUUGUCCGGAAUUAUUGGGCGUAAAGAGCUCGUAGGCGGUUCGGUAAGUCGGAUGUGAAAUCUCCACGCUCAACGUGGAGGGGCCAUUCGAUACUGCCGUGACUCGAGUCCGGUAGGGGAGUGUGGAAUUCCCGGUGUAGCGGUGAAAUGCGCAGAGAUCGGGAGGAACACCCGUAGCGAAGGCGGCACUCUGGGCCGGUACUGACGCUGAGGAGCGAAAGCGUGGGGAGCGAACAGG